This 3404-nucleotide long non-coding RNA is filed under the name Homo sapiens (human). Its description in RNAcentral is "HSALNT0242102". Lineage: Eukaryota; Metazoa; Chordata; Mammalia; Primates; Hominidae. The record is from RNAcentral.
AAAAUCGGCCAGAAGCCCCUCUCAGGUUUAUUCUCCAAAAUAAACCUUUGACUGUUGAGCCACUUUUUGUGUUUCUUUCCUCUUUCUUUAACUCUUACAUUUGGUGCUGAAAGCCAGGAUGGGUGUUGGGGAUAGAGGCUCUCUUGCAACCAAGGAAGCAGUGGACAGCAGCUGCUCAUCCCACUGGAUCCUGAGAGUCUCUGGCCACCCAUCCCAUCUUGUCUCUCACUUUACUUUUUGAGCAAUUUGCAUGAGGAGGACAACUAACCUGAAAGGGCCUGCAAGGCUCGGGCUGGGGCUACUCUCCAGUGAGCCCUCAAAACCCUCAGGUCUCAGGAAUCCACCUCUGACUGCCUGCAAUGGGUAUCAGGUAUUUCGCUUUCUCCCCUCCUCCUCCCUCAUCCUCCUCUCUAUCUCUCUCUCUCUCUCUCUGUCUCUCUCUUUCUCUCCCCACCACCCCACUUCUUGUGGCUCCAGUCCAAGAGGCCCUUUGCCAAUUCCAGCUGGAACAUCCAACAUCAGACACUAAUCCAGCUAACUGGAUCAUGGCCAUUUCACAGACAACUACCCAAAAACAUCUACAGACGACAUUACUCCUACAGUCAAUCUGAGACCAGAAAACUCUCUGUCCUCCCAUCAGCAGGAAGUAGCUAGAAAGAACAUGCCACCUCUCUUCCUUUUUAUAACUAUAGGGUCUGGAUUGACAGAGCAGGAGCAUCACCAUCUUGGACAAGCACCACCAUUUUUAAGUUCACCUUGAUCAAAAGCCGCCUAAAUCCAAAGGGCAUCAGCCUAAUGGCUAAGGUCAGCAUGACCAUAAACCACAAAUGACAUCUCCGACCAGAAACAUUCCAACCAUAAGAUAAAUCCCUCCCCGACCAGAGACAUGCCAGCCCUGAGAUAACCUCUCCUCCGACCAGAGACACUCCAACCCGCAAUAAAUUUCUCCCCCACACACAGAAACAUUCCAAGCCUGUGAUAAGCUUUCUCACCCUAAAACCAAUACUCUUAGUCUGUAAGAGAGAGCACUCCUGACAGAAAUUGGCCAGAAGCCCCUCUCAGGUUUAUUCUCCAAAAUAAACCUGACUUUAACUGUUGAGCCAUUUUUCGUGUUUCUUUCCUCUUUCUUUAAUUCUUACACUGAGGACUAAAGAAGAGAUGGCUGUCCAAGUCCACCUGGAGCCCUGAUAGCUGUCCAGCCUGUGUGCAUCACACUGCAGGCCCUGUCUGGGGUCAGUCUGAGGAUAGCUUCCCCCAAUGGUGACCCCAGGCUUUUUCACUGUGGUGGGUCCAUUUUACUACUGUUACAGGACUUCCUCUUCUCCCUGGCUGUGGACCCAUUUCCAGCUAUCACCUUUGACAAAUUGGCAAAUUCUUAAGUAACCUGAAUCUCCUCUGUAUUUGGUCAUUCCAGCUACUCCCAGUGCCCAGUAUACCCACCUCUGGCACUGGUCUUGCGGGGCCAAAGGACAAACUCUUUUUACCUUUCACCAUCAAGCCCCUGUCUACUCGUCCCUUAUGGGAGAAGCUUCAAGUGGUCCACAUGGGACCAGAUUCAGCCAACAGAUUCUAGUGCCAUAACUGAGUUUUCUGAAAGUUGUUCCUGAAAGACUGAUUAAGCUACCUUUGCAUCUUGGCCCAGUUAAAACAGCAAUUCCUACCAAGAGGAGUGCUCAGGUAAGAAGAAAGUAGAACAAUUUGAGCCACCCCAAAAAGGUGGUGAUGCCAGUUAGCAACUGCUUGACUCUAGAGAAAUGAGACCAUGUCUUAUUCCUUGCUCUGCUCCCAGAGCCUUGCGCAGGCCUGGCUCAGAGUAGGCACCAUUCAUUGACUGAAUGAACUAUUCCCAUGAGUGCUGGGAGUGUUUUCCCACCCAAAUGAUCAGUAACCCUUCCUCUUCUUCAAAUUCAGCCUUUGCUGUUGCUCAAUAAAUGUAUGUUGAAAGGAAAAAGAUGAGGGGUCAGCUCUUCAGAGGACUGAAGAAGUGAGAACAAAAUAUCCAGGCUUGUCAUAAUCUCAAGGAAAAAGCAAGUGGUGUCACUUGCUCAAGGAUGAGGAUUAAGCAAUAGGUGUGUGGAGUUGGGUCCUCAAUCGUGGGGAAGGUUCUAAACAGAUUGCCCUAGGAUCUCAGUGAGGCGUGAAGCUUAUUCAAGUUCUCACCUGCUAUUUUCCCUGUCUUCAAAACACUCCUCUAGGCUGGGCACAGUGGCUCACACCCGUAUUCCCAGCACUUUGGGAAGCCGAGGUGGAUGGAUCACUUGAACCCAGGAAUUUGAGACCAGCCUGGCCGACAUGGAGAAACCCUGUCUCUACUAAAAAUACAAAAAAAAAUUAGCCAGGCAUGGUGGUGCAUGCCUGUAGUCCCAGCUACUCAGGAGGCUGAGGAAGGAGAAUCUCUUGAACUCAGGAGGCAGAGAUUGCAGUGAGCCAAGAUCACACCUCUGCACUCCAGCCUGGGCAAUAGGGCAAGACUGUUUCACACAUACACACACACACACACACACACACACACACACACAGACACACACACACACACACAAAAGACUCCUCCACUCACCUGUGCUUCUUUUCUCUUUUACCCUUCCGCCUCUGGUUAAAUGUUAGUUCCUCAAGGAGACCUUUCCUAGCCACCAGACUAGGUCAGAGUCCUCUUUUCGUGCCCUGACAGCCAGCAUCCAGUACCUUCCAGUCACAACGCUGAUCAGAGUUUGUAACUGCAUAUUACUCUGUGUAUGUUUGUUUGCUGUCUGUUUCCCCUGUUCCCUGAAAGGCAGUGCCACUCCUGUUUUGCUCUCCAUUGUAUCCCCAGCACAGGGGCUGGCUCAUAGUUGAUAUUCAAAAACCAUCUGAUGGAGAAAGGAAUGAAUGAAUUGUAUUCUAUCAUUUAAUGCUCAGAACAAUCUUGGGUCUUCAGUGUUGUAUUUGUCUCCCUUUCACAUGAGGAAAGUGAAAAUUAGAACUCUAGGGGGACACAGAGGGGACUGGAAUCAGUUCUACUGGAUCAACAGCCCACAUCUGCCCUGCUGCCUGGGUGAAGCGGAGGGUCCAGGUUAGUGAGAAUGGGAGAGAUGCAGGGGAGACAGGAAGACAGUCAGGAAGGGCCAGGGCCAAGUCCGGAACAGUGAGGAAGGGAAAGAAGUCCAGGAUGCUGCCCAGCUGACUUCAGCCUGACCCUGGGAGUCAAGAAGGAUGGGUGAAUGGGUGUAUGUCAUUGACGUGGAGCAGGGCAAAGGGGGUGCAGACUCGACGGGCUGUGGAUUUCUUCUCAAUUAUCUUCUGAAUUAUCUUGAUGUCUUCAAGAGGCAGUGCAAUCCUAGUUAAAAGAUGAAUUCCAGAGGCUGGCUCUGCUUCUGCUCUCAACCUGCUGUGUGAACUUAAACAAGUGAUUAAACAUCUCUGUGCCU